UCGGCCCGCUGGCCCGGUAUCGGGCCCCCGCCGCUCGCAGCGGUCAUCGACUGCGUUCGGUGGCGCAGCUGGCUGGA
This 77-nucleotide transfer RNA is filed under the name Streptomyces spectabilis. RNAcentral's name for it is "tRNA-Ala". The record is from RNAcentral. Lineage: Bacteria; Bacillati; Actinomycetota; Actinomycetes; Kitasatosporales; Streptomycetaceae.